AACGAACGCUGGCGGCAUGCCUAACACAUGCAAGUCGAACGAGACCUUCGGGUCUAGUGGCGCACGGGUGCGUAACGCGUGGGAACCUGCCCUUAGGUUCGGAAUAACUCCCCGAAAGGGGUGCUAAUACCGGAUAAUGUCUUCGGACCAAAGAUUUAUCGCCUUUGGAUGGGCCCGCGUUUGAUUAGCUAGUUGGUAGGGUAAAAGCCUACCAAGGCGACGAUCCAUAGCUGGUCUGAGAGGAUGAUCAGCCACACUGGGACUGAGACACGGCCCAGACUCCUACGGGAGGCAGCAGUGGGGAAUAUUGGACAAUGGGCGAAAGCCUGAUCCAGCAAUGCCGCGUGAGUGAUGAAGGCCUUAGGGUUGUAAAGCUCUUUUACCCGGGAUGAUAAUGACAGUACCGGGAGAAUAAGCGCCGGCUAACUACGUG
Molecule: ribosomal RNA, 433 nt
Filed under: uncultured bacterium
Lineage: Bacteria
Description: partial 16S ribosomal RNA
Rfam family: Bacterial small subunit ribosomal RNA
Source: RNAcentral